GUGAAGUGAAGGGAAGUGAAUUGUUGCCGAGUGCUUUUGACAAAAGGGCUUUUGAGAAAAGCAGUCCUAACCAUGGCAACUGUGCGAAUGUUGCUUUUUCUGGCUAUCGUCUACUCUGCAGGGAUUCAUGUGAUCGUCUCCCUUACAGACCUUAAUGAUGCUGCUGUACUCCAAUCCUUGAAGGGGGCAUGGCAAAAUACACCUCCCAGCUGGGACAAGUCGAACGAUCCCUGUGGUUUGCGCUGGGAAGGAGUCACCUGCAACGGUUCAAGGGUGUCUGCACUGGCAUUGUCAAGCACCGGUCUGAAAGGGGAACUUACUGGUGACAUUGGGGGACUCACUGAAUUAAGAUCCAUGGACCUUUCAUUCAACCCUGGCCUCACCGGUUCUCUCUCUCCGCGACUAGGUGAUCUGAAGAAGUUAAAUGUCAUGGUCCUAGCUGGGUGCAGCUUCAGUGGUAAUAUUCCAGAUGAAUUAGGCAAUCUUGCAGAGCUAACCUUCUUGGCUCUGAAUUCAAAUAACCUCACUGGUGUUAUACCUCAUCCUUUGGGUAAACUCUCAAACCUCUACUGGCUGGACCUGGCAAAAAAUCAGUUGAGCGGACCUAUCCCUAUUUCGACCUCCACUUCCCCAGGCUUAGACCUCCUGCUUAAGGCUAAACACUUCCAUUUGAACGAGAACCAGCUUUCAGGUUCCAUUCCGCCCCAACUUUCCAGCUCCGAGAUGACACUGAUAGACUUGUUUUUAGACGGAAAUAGGUUUAGCGGUUCUAUUCCAAUAACAUUAGGACUUGUUCACACUCUUAAAGUUCUUCGGCUUGAUGGAAAUUUUCUGACGGGAAUUGUUCCAUCGAAUCUUAAAAACCUUACAAAUGUCUAUGAAUUAAAUUUAGCCCGCAACUCCUUGACAGGCCCUUUACCGGACUUAAGUGGAAUGAAUCUCCUCAAUUAUGUAGACCUUAGCAACAACUCAUUCGACGCGUCAGAAGCUCCGCUUUGGUUCACCACCAUACCCACACUCACCACUUUGGUAAUAGAAUUUGGAUCACUUCAAGGGACUCUACCGGAGAAGCUUUUCGGCCUUCCAGAAUUACAGCAAGUGAAACUGAAAAACAACUCGUUUAACUGAUACGUUGAACAUGGGAGAUAACAUCAGCAAACAACUGCAGCUUGUUGAUCUGCAGUACAAUCAAAUUUCCAGUAGUAACUCUGAUUAUGAAUACAAAAAUGAACUAAUACUUUUCGGCAACCCGGUAUGCAGCGGUUCGGGUGCCCCAAAUCUUACUUUCUGUCAGCCUCCCCAUCAAGCUACAAAAUCUUAAGGGGUUUAAAUAAGCGAUCUUUCACAAGAGUUGGCUAGAACAGUGCGCUAUCAUCAGCACGUAAUUUGAUUCUUUAUUCUGUAAUUUAAAUUAAAUUAAAACGUCACUCAAUAAAAAAAAGUGAGAGCUUUCGUCAACAUUGUGAAAUGGGGAGUUAUACAUUCAAG
RNA transcript from Pyrus x bretschneideri (Chinese white pear), 1488 nucleotides. It is a transcript of the gene named leucine-rich repeat receptor protein kinase HPCA1-like, with no coding region annotated. The transcript is spliced from 14 exons. NCBI's taxonomy places the organism in Eukaryota, Viridiplantae, Streptophyta, Magnoliopsida, Rosales, Rosaceae. The record is from RefSeq and is a predicted model, not a curated record.